This 1905-nucleotide ribosomal RNA is filed under the name human gut metagenome. Its description in RNAcentral is "bacterial LSU rRNA". It matches the Rfam family "Bacterial large subunit ribosomal RNA", at positions 1 to 1985 of the family's 2925-position model. The record is from RNAcentral.
UGAAGUAAGUAAGGGCGUACGGUGAAUGCCUUGGUGCCAACAGGCGAAGAAGGACGCGGCAAGCUGCGAAAAGCCUCGGGAAGCUGCAAGCAAGCGAUGAUCCGGGGAUAUCCGAAUGGGGUAACCUGAUCGAGGCAAUACUCGAUCGUUCAUACCUGAAUACAUAGGGUAUGAAACGCGAAACCCGCUGAAGUGAAACAUCUCAGUAAGCGGAGGAAAAGAAAGAGAAAUCGAUUCCGUAAGUAGUGGCGAGCGAAAGCGGAUGGAGCCCAAACCGAAGGUAUUCCUUCGGGGUUGUAGGACCACGUCAUAUUCGACCAUACUGGAUAGUAGAACAGCCUGGAAAGGCUGGCCGGAGAAGGUGAAAGCCCUGUAGACGAAAUCCAGAGUGGGAAUUAGUGGUAUCCUGAGUAAUACAUCACACGUGGAACGAUGUAUGAACCCGCGCGGACCACCGCGCAAGGCUAAAUACUAGUUGGCGACCGAUAGUGAACAAGUACCGCGAGGGAAAGGUGAAAAGAACCGCUGUGAGCGGAGUGAAAUAGAACCUGAAACCGUAUGUCUACAAAGUGUCAGAGCAGAGCAAUCUGCGAUGGCGUGCCUUUUGUUUAAUGAGUCUGCGAGUCAGUGUUUGUGGCAAGACUAAGGGCUUCCGGCCCGGAGUCGCAGCGAAAGCAAGUCCGAACAGGGCGCAAUAAGUCGCAGGUACUGGACCCGAAGCGGAGGUGACCUACCCUUGGCCAGGUUGAAGCAUGGGUAAAACCAUGUGGAGGACCGAACAGGUGAACGUUGAAAAGUUCUCUGAUGAGCUGAGGGUAGGAGUGAAAGGCUAAUCAAACCCCGUGAUAGCUGGUUCUCUUCGAAAUGCAUUUAGGUGCAGCGUCACGUGCUGAUGCGCGGGGGUAGAGCACUGACAAGGCUAGGGGGCACACCCGCUUACCAAACCUUAUCAAACUCCGAAUACCGUGCAAUGGAACGUGGCAGUGAGACAGUGGGGGAUAAGCUUCAUUGUCGAGAGGGAAACAACCCAGACCAGCAGCUAAGGUGCCUAAAUAACGCUCAGUGGAAAGGAUGUGGGAUUACACAGACAGUGAGGAUGUUGGCUUAGAAGCAGCCACCAUUUAAAAAAUGCGUAAUAGCUUACUCAUCGAGUGAUCCUGCGCCGAAAAUGAUUGGCGAUCAAGCGUUAUACCGAAGCUCUGGACUUUGCCGCAAGGCAGAGUGGUAGAAGAGCGUUGCAUGCGCGUCGAAGGGCGAUGGCGACUGACCCUGGAGCACAUGCAAGUGAGUAUGCAGACAUGAGUAACGUUAAGCCGGGUGAAAUCCCCGGCCGCCGUAAACCCGAGGUUUCCAGGGCAACGUGUUUCGUCCCUGGGUUAGCCGGGACCUAAGCCGAGGCCGAGAGGCGUAGGCGAUGGACAUCAGGUUAAUAAUCCUGAGCUCGCAACCCUUAAACUGGGGGGACGCAUGAGAAAAGAUGACUAGGUUAUUGAAUUCCGAGUUGAGUCUACGGACUCAGCGCAUCAUUGGAUCGAGUGCCAAGAAAAGCCCCAGCGUAUGCUAAGCGACCCGUACCGCAAACCGACACAGGUGGGUGGGUAGAAUAUACCAAGGCGUAAGAGUGAAACCUGGUUAAGGAACUCGGCAAAUUAGCCCCGUAACUUCGGAAGAAGGGGUGCCUGCAGCGAUGCAGGCCGCAGAGAAAUGGCCCAACCGACUGUUUAUCAAAAACACAGCACUCUGCAAAGACGCAAGUCGAAGUAUAGGGUGUGACACGUGACCAAUGCCGAAAGAUUAAGGCAAGGGGUUAGCCGCAAGGCGAAGCUCUAAACCCAAGUCCCGGUGAAUGUCGGCCGUAACUAUAACGGUCCUAAGGUAGCGAAAUUCCUUGUCGGGUAAGUUCCG